UACGGAGGAUGCAAGCGUUAUCCGGAAUCAUUGGGUUUAAAGGGUCCGUAGGUGGACGAUUAAGUCAGAGGUGAAAUCCUGCAGCUCAACUGUAGAAUUGCCUUUGAUACUGGUUGUCUUGAGUCGUUAUGAAGUGGUUAGAAUAUGUAGUGUAGCGGUGAAAUGCAUAGAUAUUACAUAGAAUACCAAUUGCGAAGGCAGAUCACUAAUAACGUACUGACACUGAUGGACGAAAGCGUGGGGAGCGAACAGG
This 253-nucleotide unclassified non-coding RNA is filed under the name uncultured Flavobacteriaceae bacterium. RNAcentral's name for it is "contains 16S-23S intergenic spacer region". It matches the Rfam family "Bacterial small subunit ribosomal RNA", at positions 524 to 776 of the family's 1533-position model. Lineage: Bacteria; Pseudomonadati; Bacteroidota; Flavobacteriia; Flavobacteriales; Flavobacteriaceae. The record is from RNAcentral.